Molecule: ribosomal RNA, 440 nt
Filed under: uncultured bacterium
Lineage: Bacteria
Description: partial 16S ribosomal RNA
Rfam family: Bacterial small subunit ribosomal RNA
Source: RNAcentral
CCUACGGGAGACAGCAGUGAGGAAUAUUGCACAAUGGGCGAAACCCUGAUCCAGCGACGUCGCGUGAGUGAAGAAUGAUUUCGGUAUGUAAAGCUCUAUCAGCAAGGAAGAAAAGGACGGUACCUGACUAAGAAGCCCCGGCUAACUACGUGCCAGCAGCCGCGGUAAUACGUAGGGGGCAAGCGUUAUCCGGAUUUACUGGGUGUAAAGGGAGCGUAGACGGCAGUGCAAGUCUGGAGUGAAAGGCGGGGGCUCAACCCCCGGAGUGCACUUGAAACUGUAAGGCUGGAGUGCAGGAGAGGUAAGUGGAAUUCCUAGUGUAGCGGUGAAAUGCGUAGAUAUUAGGAAGAACACCAGUGGCGAAGGCAGCUUACUGGACUGUAACUGACGUUGAGGCUCGAAAGCGUGGGGAGCAAACAGGAUUAGAUACCCGGGUAGUC